AGAAAGGAGAACCUGUUUAUUUAUUCUUGGAUACAGAACGCAAUAAUGUGAACGUCCCUAUUCCUUUUCUGAUGAGUCAACACUUCGUGGCAAAUGUUUUCCUUGUUUCAUUUGCCAUUACCAAUUAAGCGAAGUUAUGAAACAAGGAAUAACUUUAAGGCACCCUGAAGCAUAACACAGCCGAAAGUAAAAGUGAGCUUCACAGCUUACCACCGACUUUCCCGCCUAGAACAGCCAUUUCGGGAGGGGAAGGAACGUUUCCUUUCCAUGACGUCCCACCCAAUCUAACGACUGGGUGCACGUGCUAGAUAGAAAGCCAGAGGCGUGCAGUUUACGCCUGCGCUCUGCGAUGCUACAUAAAUGAGAGAGAGAGACCAAGCGAGCUGGCGUUCUUACUUUCUGGCGGGGUGGGGAUGGGAUGUAAGCUGUGGAAGGCUUAGCAGGGGCCCGCCGCCGCUCAUAGGUGUAGCACCACCCGCAGCGGCACGUGCCGUUUGUUUUCUCCCUUAAGCUUCUGGUUGGUGGCCCGGGGAUCCCCACGUGCAUGCCUGCGAAGAAGAAAAGGGUCAGCGGCGGAUGCGUGACCGUGUGGUUGUUUGCCUGCGAGCUGGGGACUCUCCUGCUGGUUUUGCCGCACCGCCAACUGCGGAGCUUUUGCUCAGCUCCCGAGCACCUUUGGCGGCUGCUAUGCUGUGGAAUAACUCGGACUGCGCCUCAAGCUCUAGUCCUGUGCCCUCCGGUGCCUUUUCCCUCCUUCAUGACUGCUCCUUCGCCGGUGGCGGCAACCGUCCUGGGGAGGGUCAUGGCCCCUGGGCCUCCGGAGCAUGCUGCUUUGGCAGCCGAUCCCCCCGUGAGCGCGGCUAGCGGGAAGCAGGAGCCCCGGGCAGUGCUGCCCGCUCAGAGAACGGUUGCCUCUCCCUCCUGUCGGGCGAUACCCACGGGCAGCCCUGCUGGGUUGUUCCUGAAUCCUGUAGGCGCCAGGCUUCCCCUUAGUUUCGUCCCAUCCUUCGCCCUUCAACCCCGAGUGCUGCCUGCUGCUCCCAUAGGAAUGAAACUCGCCUCCUCGACUCCGGGUCAGCAGUCUAGCAACAUGGGUGUGAGGCAGCCAGUCCCUCCCUCGGGAGGACCCAAAUCCGCACAAACGACAAUACAAUUGCCUGCUAAUUUUCAGAUCCCCCAAGGAAUGAUUCUGGUCAGAAGUAAUACCGGUCAAUUAAUGUUGAUAUCUCAACAAGCAUUACUACAAGCUCAGAGUCAGACCUCAAAUAAUACCAGUGUAAGAUCCUCAAUGCCUCCAACUGCACCUACCAUCAAAAUUCAGCCUGUACAGAGUUCUGGAACUCAGGUACUUAAAGUACUAACGGCUCCUGUUAAAACGCUAUCUUGGGCAACUCAUUCUAUUACUUCUACUGUUAAGAAGCCUGCUGUAAUUCAGAUCAUGCCAUGCAAAUGA
RNAcentral lists this long non-coding RNA (1453 nucleotides) under Naja naja (Indian cobra). RNAcentral's name for it is "lncRNA (ENSNNAG00000014482.1)". The record is from RNAcentral. Lineage: Eukaryota; Metazoa; Chordata; Lepidosauria; Squamata; Elapidae.